UAUGACUUGAGAAGCUCCCUGGAUACCGUGUGUAUCUCAAAGCAAGCAGAGAGUGGCCUUGGCCUGUGGAGCUCUGACUCUCAAUCCCAUGCUCCUUUCUGAUAAUGGAAAAUCCAUCAUGUAUCAUGCUGAAAUCAAGAUAAUAAUACCCUUUACCUGCUUUAAGGUCCAGCAAUUCCACUUCUAUGUACUUAUCCAAGAGAAAUAAAAACAUGUCUACUAAAAGACUCAUACAACAAUGUUUAUGGAAACCAUAUUCACAAUAACCUCAAGCUGGAAAUGACCCAUAUGUCCAUUAAUAAGAGAACAGAUCAACAAAAUGUGGUAUAUGCAUACAAGGGGAUACUCCUCAGAAAUAAGAAGGAACAAGCUACUGAUGGUGUCAUCCAGCAGCUAGAGGCUAAAAAGGGGCACUCUACAAACUGAAUGAAAACAUGUUGACUUAUAAUGAGAAGCACAAGCAAAUGGAAGCAAAAGUGUGACUGUCAACAGUGAGUUGCAGUGUGGAUUCUCAGGAUAGCAAAGGCCUGGACUGCUCACCAAGUGCUUUGUGCAAGUUUGAACAGCAACAGCAAUGUCAUGUAAAACGACUGUUCUCAGGGUUAGAAUCUACUAGGGUGGGUUCAAAAACAUUAAACAAAACAUGAUGAAGGAAAAGUAUUAGAGUGUUCUUAAAUGAGUAGCAUCAAUGUGGUUAAAAUUAUGUUUGAUUAGAAACAGACAAAUAUUUAGCUAAGAGUAGAAUUUUAUCUCAUUCCAAAGCAAGGGGGGAG
Molecule: long non-coding RNA, 773 nt
Filed under: Papio anubis (olive baboon)
Lineage: Eukaryota; Metazoa; Chordata; Mammalia; Primates; Cercopithecidae
Description: lncRNA (ENSPANG00000045775.1)
Source: RNAcentral